GAGAGUCGAGCGGUAACAGGGGUAGCUUGCUACCCGCUGACGAGCGGCGGACGGGUGAGUAAUGCAUAGGAAUCUGCCCGGUAGUGGGGGAUAACCUGGGGAAACCCAGGCUAAUACCGCAUACGUCCUACGGGAGAAAGGGGGCUUCGGCUCCCGCUAUUGGAUGAGCCUAUGUCGGAUUAGCUAGUUGGUGAGGUAAUGGCUCACCAAGGCGACGAUCCGUAGCUGGUCUGAGAGGAUGAUCAGCCACAUCGGGACUGAGACACGGCCCGAACUCCU
Molecule: ribosomal RNA, 279 nt
Rfam family: Bacterial small subunit ribosomal RNA